ACCUUUACAAUGCACGAAAGUGUGAUAGGGGGAUACUCAGUGCUUACGCUUAUGGUGUAGGCUUUUGUCGAUCGUAAAUAGAUCGGCGAAUAAGUGGUGGGCAAGACCGGUGCCAGCCGCCGCGGUAACCCCGGCGCCACAAGUGGUUAUCACGAUUAUUGGGCCUAAAGCGUUCGUAGCCGGUCUGGUAAAUCUCUUGUGAAAUUGUUCGGCUUAACCGGACAGCGUGCAGGAGACACUACCAGGCUCGAGACCGGGAGGGGUUAGAAGUAUUCCAUGGGGACUGGUAAAAUGGGAUAAUCCAUGGAAGACUACCGAUGGCGAAGGCAUCUAACCAGAACGGAUCUGACGGUGAGGAACGAAAGCCGGGGGAGCGAACCGGAUUAGAUACCCGAGUAGUCCUGGCCGUAAACGCUGUGAGCUAGGUGCCGCGUAUCUCACGAAGAUGCGCGGUGUCGAAAUGAAGAUGCUAAGCUCACCGCCUGGGAAGUACGGUCGCAAGACUGAAACUUUA
RNAcentral lists this ribosomal RNA (514 nucleotides) under uncultured archaeon. RNAcentral describes it as "bacterial SSU rRNA". It matches the Rfam family "Archaeal small subunit ribosomal RNA", at positions 346 to 859 of the family's 1478-position model. The record is from RNAcentral.